Molecule: non-coding RNA, 290 nt
Organism: Cinara cedri
Lineage: Eukaryota; Metazoa; Arthropoda; Insecta; Hemiptera; Aphididae
Source: the annotation of a GenBank genome assembly
CACACGCGAACAGUCGUAGAAAAAAAAAUCGCGCGCUCGCGAACGGAAAUGUUUAAUAACAAUAAAAUUAACAACGAUCGACGGGUAACAAACACCGACAACGAAUAAUUAUCACAUCGACGUACCGCGACUGUUCUCGAAUAAUACCGAUGUACCGACCCGAGCGCGCGCGCUAAAACGUCUCCGGAAAAAAAGUAAUUGAUAAUAGCUCGGAAUAUCGGCUACUCGGACGAGACCGUAACACGAACGACACGCACACGUAUACGGCGGCAACUGCGCGUAAUCCUAAC